RNAcentral lists this ribosomal RNA (378 nucleotides) under uncultured bacterium. RNAcentral's name for it is "bacterial SSU rRNA". It matches the Rfam family "Bacterial small subunit ribosomal RNA", at positions 521 to 896 of the family's 1533-position model. The record is from RNAcentral.
UAAUACAGAGGGUGCGAGCGUUGUUCGGAAUUACUGGGCGUAAAGCGCGCGCAGGCGGCCUUUUAAGUCUGACGGUGAAAUGCCGGGGCUCAACCCCGUGCCCGCCGGAGAUACUGGGAGGCUGGAGACGAGUAGAGGCAAGCGGAAUUCCGGGUGUAGCGGUGGAAUGCGUAGAGAUCCGGAAGAACACCGGAGGCGAAGGCGGCUUGCUGGGCUCGGUCUGACGCUGAGGCGCGAAAGCGUGGGGAGCGAACAGGAUUAGAUACCCUGGUAGUCCACGCCGUAAACGAUGGGCACUAGACGCGGGUGGGAUCGACCCCUUCCGUGUCGCAGCUAACGCGAUAAGUGCCCCGCCUGGGGAGUACGGCCGCAAGGCUG